UCUUUUGUAUUUUCUGUCAAAAAAAAAAACUUUUGUAUUUACGUACUUCCGCAAUAGCUGAAGCUCCAUUUGAAUCAAUGUAGCAUGUCUUAAAACUUAAUGUAUUAAACUUUAUAUGGAGGGUAUUCUUCCAUUGGAUGGAUUUGCUUCCAGGUAAUUGUAAUGAAAUACUACUGGCUUUAUACUAUCGAAAUCUUUAGUCUUAAUUGCCACAUGUUGAUUCUUAUCAAAGUGGUUUCUGAAAGAAUUUGCGGAUUCAGGCGGCAUUUAGUCUGUGGUUCUUGCACUUGCUUGAUGAGUUUAUGAUUUUUUUAUUUGGUUGUAAUUUUUUUUUUCCUGCUUUCAUAGCAAUGCAUGGUUUUGUCAAAUGCAAUGGUUUGUAGACCUAAUUGAUGUGUGUUGUGCAAGAAACGAAGUAAGGAAGUACAAGUGUGUCACUCCUUGGUGUAUAUGUAAAGUUCUAAUCAUCGAUUAUUUUGUACAUGCUGCUGGUCUUUCAAAUUCUUCUUCCAUGAAAAGUCCAUUUGGGAUUGAAAUCAGUUUGGAUAUUGUUUGAAAAUUUAUAAGCGAUUUAAUUUGAGCAUGCUGCCAUUUAUCAUACACCACUAAAGCUCUUGAUAAUAUAUACGACACAUUUUCAUCGAGUAUCUAAUGCCAAAACCUUAAGUUUCUACUUUGCAAGAAAAUUCCAAAGUUUCACAUUAGCAACAUCCAAAGUUUACAACAUGCCAAAGAAGUCUGCAAUGCAAUUGAUGCUAUUAGAACAGUGAUUUACAGCAACAUAUGAGUCAUUUCUUGUCCAUAUAUCCUUAGCUAACUCACAUGUAACAACAGACAUGCACGCAAAUUUCAAAUGAUUUCUGCAGUUUACACAUGAGGUUCUAGUAGGUAAGCACCCUUUUAGUAAUUGGAAAUUACUAGCGCUGCUAGUGCUAAUUCCACCUCUUGAAAACAACUACGCACAUGAUAG
This 970-nucleotide long non-coding RNA is filed under the name Medicago truncatula (barrel medic). RNAcentral's name for it is "long non-coding RNA (MTRU_LNC005393)". Lineage: Eukaryota; Viridiplantae; Streptophyta; Magnoliopsida; Fabales; Fabaceae. The record is from RNAcentral.